GCUGGGCCAUUACUGACGCUCAUGGACGAAAGCCAGGGGAGCGAAAGGGAUUAGAUACCCCUGUAGUCCUGGCCGUAAACGAUGAACACUAGGUGUCGGGGGAAUCGACCCCUUCGGUGUCGUAGCUAACGCGUUAAGUGUUCCACCUGGGGAGUACGCACGCAAGUGUGAAACUCAAAGGAAUCGACGGGGGCCCGCACAAGCGGUGGAGUAUGUGGUUUAAUUCGAUGCAACGCGAAGAACCUUACCAGGGUUUGACAUCCUGCGAACCUCUUAGAAAUUUGAGGGUGCCUUCGGGAAUGCAGUGACAGGUGGUGCAUGGCUGUCGUCAGCUCGUGUCGUGAGAUGUUGGGUUAAGUCCCGCAACGAGCGCAACCCACGUUUUUAGUUGCCAGCAUUUAGUUGGGCACUCUAGAAAGACCGCCGGUGAUAAACCGGAGGAAGGUGUGGAUGACGUCAAGUCAUCAUGCCCCUUACACCCUGGGCUACACACGUACUACAAUGCUACGGACAAAGGGCAGCAAACUCGCGAGAGCUAGCAAAUCCCAUAAACCGUGGCUCAGUUCAGAUCGUAGGCUGCAACUCGCCUACGUGAAGUAGGAAUCGCUAGUAAUCGCAGGUCGGCAUACAGCGGUGAAUACGUUCCCGGGCCUUGUACACACCGCCCGUCACACCAUGGAAGUUGACCAUGCCCGAAGUCGUUACUCCAACCCUUGUGGAGGAGGACGCCGAAGGUGGGGCUAAUGACUGGGGUGAAGUCGUAACAAGGUAACC
Molecule: ribosomal RNA, 774 nt
Filed under: uncultured marine microorganism
Description: bacterial SSU rRNA
Rfam family: Bacterial small subunit ribosomal RNA
Source: RNAcentral